RNAcentral lists this ribosomal RNA (207 nucleotides) under uncultured bacterium. Its description in RNAcentral is "partial 16S ribosomal RNA". It matches the Rfam family "Bacterial small subunit ribosomal RNA", at positions 568 to 774 of the family's 1533-position model. The record is from RNAcentral.
CUCGUAGGCGGCCAACUCAGUCGGACGUGAAAUCCCUCGGCUUAACCGGGGAACUGCGUCCGAUACUGGAUGGCUUGAGUGUGGGAGAGGGAUGCGGAAUUCCAGGUGUAGCGGUGAAAUGCGUAGAUAUCUGGAGGAACACCGGUGGCGAAGGCGGCAUCCUGGACUACUACUGACGCUGAGGAGCGAAAGCCAGGGGAGCAAACG